RNAcentral lists this unclassified non-coding RNA (222 nucleotides) under Hevea brasiliensis (rubber tree). Lineage: Eukaryota; Viridiplantae; Streptophyta; Magnoliopsida; Malpighiales; Euphorbiaceae. The record is from RNAcentral.
AUGAUGCGCUCUAGUCAUCUGAUAUUUUUCUUGAGAUGCCAUUGGUAUUCUGCUACUUUCUAAUUGUUUAUGUUAGAUAUUGUUUUUGUUGGUUUGAAGGACUUGGACCUGAGGUCUAAUGGGCAUCACUACUCGCAAGGUAUGCAAUUGCAACUGUGGGAGGAUGCCUCAGUGACUGCUACCAGAUUGAGUUGAACAUCUAAUGCAGGCAACAUAUCCCCG